ACAUGCCUGCAGACAGGAAGCUCACUCCUGGCCUCAGAACAACUUGAAUGGGAACUGUACUACCUCCAGGUCAAAGGAAAGGGAACAGGAUUAAGGUUGGCUGAUCUCCUACGUUGGUCUUUAAACUAGUUCAGAUGGGGGAUGAGGAGGCAGAAGAAGGAGAACAUCAGGAACCUGCAAUCCAUGGGACAUGCAACAGUAUAGAACAGAAAGAAAAGGAGCAGAAGAAAUCUUUGCUAGCCUGAAAGGUGUCUGAAGGAGUUUGGUAAGGAUAAUAAAUCUGCAGCAGAAAUUAUUAUUGCAGGAAAAAAAAGCAAAUGUCAGCCUUCUAUAAAAGGUAGUCAGUGCAACUGAUGGCACAUAUAACCUUCGAAGCAUCUCCAAUGCAGACAGAUGUUGACCCAUUGGAGGGAAUUCCAAAAAGAAAAAUUAUUUGAGAGCUGAAAGGAUGGACUUGGGAGGAAAGAUCAGAAGCACGAAUGGGGAGGUAAAGGAAGGGCAUGUUUUUGUUAAUAUCUGAUGAGUAAAUGCCCAAAAUGGAGUUGUUUAAUCUGGAUGAAAUAUUUUGGAUGAAAAAUGUAUUUACCCAAAAAUGUAACUUUGAGGCUGACUAUUUGUAAGCAGAGAGUAAAUCUGGAAACUGGCUUC
Alligator mississippiensis (American alligator) is the source of this 648-nucleotide long non-coding RNA. RefSeq lists it as uncharacterized. NCBI's taxonomy places the organism in Eukaryota, Metazoa, Chordata, Crocodylia, Alligatoridae. The transcript is spliced from 3 exons. The record is from RefSeq and is a predicted model, not a curated record.